This 291-nucleotide long non-coding RNA is filed under the name Mytilus galloprovincialis (Mediterranean mussel). The record is from RNAcentral. Lineage: Eukaryota; Metazoa; Mollusca; Bivalvia; Mytilida; Mytilidae.
UAAAUGUUGACUACUGAGCAUAUGAAACAACACAGGACUGAUAAUCUACCAGCAACUAACUACACAGUAUAAAACCACUGACACUCAUACAAAGAAAAUAAGUGUGCUUGGAGGAAAGGAAAUGGGGAUAGCCUUUAAUGUUUAUAAUAUUUGUAAAGUUUCUUAAAUAAAGGAAUAAUAUAUCUGCCUCAUGCAAAGCUCGAUCAUAUUUUUAUGCCUGGCUUUUGUUAUUUUUGUAAUUUUUUUUGUUUAUAGCUCUUUGUCUUCUGGCCUCCCAAAUCACAGAAAAGA